UGGCUCAGGAUGAACGCUAGCUACAGGCUUAACACAUGCAAGUCGAGGGGCAGCAUUGGGAUAGCUUGCUAUUCAGAUGGCGACCGGCGCACGGGUGAGUAACGCGUAUCCAACCUUCCUGCCAGUAGGGAACAGCCCGGCGAAAGUCGGAUUAAUGCCCUAUGUUCUUCAAUGCGGACAUCUAAGUUGAAGGAAAGAUUCAUCGCUGGCAGAUGGGGAUGCGUCCGAUUAGCUUGCCGGCGGGGUAACGGCCCACCGGGGCGACGAUCGGUAGGGGUUCUGAGAGGAAGGUCCCCCACACUGGUACUGAGACACGGACCAGACUCCUACGGGAGGCAGCAGUGAGGAAUAUUGGUCAAUGGGCGUAAGCCUGAACCAGCCAAGUAGCGUGCAAGGAUGACGGCCCUACGGGUUGUAAACUGCUUUUAUGCGGGGAUAAAGUGCGGCACGUGUGCCGCUUUGCAGGUACCGCAUGAAUAAGGACCGGCUAAUUCCGUGCCAGCAGCGGC
RNAcentral lists this ribosomal RNA (509 nucleotides) under uncultured bacterium. Its description in RNAcentral is "bacterial SSU rRNA". It matches the Rfam family "Bacterial small subunit ribosomal RNA", at positions 20 to 518 of the family's 1533-position model. The record is from RNAcentral.